Streptococcus sp. DD12 is the source of this 124-nucleotide regulatory RNA element. It matches the Rfam family "Ribosomal protein L20 leader". From Rfam's summary of the family: This family is a putative r-protein leader autoregulatory structure found in B. subtilis and other low-GC Gram-positive bacteria. The record is from Rfam. Lineage: Bacteria; Bacillati; Bacillota; Bacilli; Lactobacillales; Streptococcaceae.
UGAGAAAAGCAGAAGUGAGAGCUUCUCGCCUUGCGACUAACGUUGUCUGGCCCUACAUGUAAAACAUCUUGUGAUGAUUACUCGUAGUGCGGACUGUUAAAGCAGUCCGCUUUGUUUUUCUCUA